This 794-nucleotide ribosomal RNA is filed under the name uncultured archaeon. RNAcentral's name for it is "bacterial SSU rRNA". It matches the Rfam family "Archaeal small subunit ribosomal RNA", at positions 85 to 880 of the family's 1478-position model. The record is from RNAcentral.
ACUGCUCAGUAACACGUGGACAACCUACCCUUGGGACCAGUAUAAUCCUGGGAAACUGGGCAUAAUGCUGGAUAGGUCACAAUUGCUGGAAUGCAUUGUGGCUCAAAGCUCCGGCGCCCAAGGAUGGGUCUGCGGCCUAUCAGGGUAGUAGUGGGUGUAAUGUACCUACUAGCCUACGACGGGUACGGGUUGUGAGAGCAAGAGCCCGGAGAUGGAUUCUGAGACACGAAUCCAGGCCCUACGGGGUGCAGCAGGCGCGAAAACUUUACAAUGCGGGAAACCGUGAUAAGGGGAUCUCGAGUGCCAGCAUAUAAUGUUGGCUGUCCAGAUGCUUAAAAAGCAUUUGUUAGCAAGGGCCGGGCAAGACCGGUGCCAGCCGCCGCGGUAACACCGGCGGCCCGAGUGGUAACCGUUAUUAUUGGGUCUAAAGGGUCUGUAGCCGGCCAAGUAAGUCCUUUGGGAAAUCUGGUAGCUUAACUAUCAGGCUGCCAGGGGAUAUUGCUUGGCUUGGGACCGGGAGAGGUGAGAGGUACCUCGGGGGUAGGGGUGAAAUCUUGUGAUCCUCGAGGGACCACCAGUGGCGAAGGCGUCUCACCAGAACGGGUCCGACGGUAAGGGACGAAAGCUAGGGGCACGAACCGGAUUAGAUACCCGGGUAGUCCUAUCCGUAAACGAUGCUCGCUAGGUGUCAGUCACGGUGCGACCGUGAUUGGUGCCGUAGGGAAGCCGUGAAGCGAUCCACCUGGGAAGUAUGGCCGCAAGGCUGAAACUUAAAGGAAUUGGCGGGGAGCACA